AUGUGCCUUCACAUCAAUAAUGGCAUCCAGCAUGAAAGCUGUAAUAUAAUAGUUUGAUUGUUCCCUUUCCAGUCUUCCUUACAGUCCCCUCUAAAGCAAUUAUUCUGUUCAAAAGAGGAUUUGUUUGUGAUAUUCCUUUAAGAAUCUUUAUUUAUUCCCCCAACAGUUUCUUUUUCUGCAUCCGCUGCUCUGUUAAGUGAUCACCACAUUCAUUGUUCUCGUUUCUAUUAUUUCUGAAAAAAAUCUUCAGGAUUCUGCUUGUGGGAGUGGAUGACAUUUUUACAGUGUUUACAGGCUGAAAAUUUUUCGAGCUUUUAUGCUCUGCUUCCGUUAUAAGGAGGAGGCCUCACAAUCCUGGUGGAAGGCAAGGAGGAGCAAGUCACAUCUUAUGUGGAUGGCAGCAGGCAAAGAAAGCUUAUGCAGCUUUAUCUAUUCCAGAAUGUCAUAUAGCUGGUAUAAGGUUGUCUUCAUUCAUUUCCACAGUUUCUCUGGAGGUUCCAACAAGAUACGGUCUCCAUUGCCCAUUGCUCUGGACCCCAGCCAUCACCCAGUGCAGCAGUGAUGCCUUAUGACAAGUCAGCACCUGGUCUGAACUCUGCUCUCUUUGCACUGAAUUCUUUGAGUUUUUAUUCCAAGUUCAGUCAUUGGUUUUAGUAUUGGUUCCCAUCUGCUUGGCAUCCUUGGUGGAAUUGGGCUUCUUUUUUCAAUUUCUUUUUGCUGUCUUUUUGUUUUACUGUGUUGAGUAGUGCUAUCUAAAUGUGUUUAUCAUAAAAGAAGCAGCACAUGAUCAUAGGCCCAUGAGCCUGUUUUUCAAGCCAGCCAAACAGCACAUUUAGUUUGACAUUCACACUGGACCUCUGUCCAUUUUUAUAAACUUCGCUUUGGGUCAUCAAUAAAACUAAAUGAAGUUCUCUCU
Molecule: long non-coding RNA, 916 nt
Filed under: Homo sapiens (human)
Lineage: Eukaryota; Metazoa; Chordata; Mammalia; Primates; Hominidae
Description: long intergenic non-protein coding RNA 1608
Source: RNAcentral